Molecule: ribosomal RNA, 443 nt
Filed under: uncultured bacterium
Lineage: Bacteria
Description: partial 16S ribosomal RNA
Rfam family: Bacterial small subunit ribosomal RNA
Source: RNAcentral
CCUACGGGAGGCUGCAGUGGGGAAUAUUGGGCAAUGGAGGAAACCCUGACCCAGCAACGCCGCGUGAAUGAUGAAGGUCUUCGGAUUGUAAAGCUCUUUUCUUGGGGAAGAAGAGAGUGCCAGUACCUCAGGAAUCAACCUCGUCUAACUACGCGCCAGCAGCCGCGGUAAUACGUAGGAGGCGAGCGUUAUGCGGAAUGACUGGUCGUAAAGGGUGAGUAGGUGGGUUGUCAAGUUAGUAGCGUAACUCCACGGCUCAACCCUAGAACUACUACUACGACUGUUGGUCGUGAGUGCAGGAGAGGCAAGCGGAAUUCCUAGUGUAGCGGUGGAAUGCGUAGAUAUUAGGAGGAACACCAGUGGCGAAGGCGGGUUGCUAGACUGUAACUGACACUGAGGCACGAAAGCGUGGGGAGCAAACAGGAUUAGAUACCCUAGUAGUC